RNAcentral lists this ribosomal RNA (661 nucleotides) under uncultured marine group I thaumarchaeote. Its description in RNAcentral is "bacterial SSU rRNA". It matches the Rfam family "Archaeal small subunit ribosomal RNA", at positions 1 to 669 of the family's 1478-position model. The record is from RNAcentral. Lineage: Archaea; Thermoproteati; Nitrososphaerota.
UUCUGGUUGAUCCUGCCGGACCUGACUGCUAUCGGAUUGAUACUAAGCCAUGCGAGUCAUUGUAGCAAUACAAGGCAUACGGCUCAGUAACGCGUAGUCAACCUAACCUAUGGACGGGAAUAACCUCGGGAAACUGAGAAUAAUGCCCGAUAGAACAUUAUGCCUGGAAUGGUUUAUGUUCCAAAUGAUUUAUCGCCGUAGGAUGGGACUGCGGCCUAUCAGUUUGUUGGUGAGGUAAUGGCCCACCAAGACUAUUACAGGUACGGGCUCUGAGAGGAAUAGCCCGGAGAUGGGUACUGAGACACGGACCCAGGCCCUAUGGGGCGCAGCAGGCGAGAAAACUUUGCAAUGUGCGAAAGCACGACAAGGUUAAUCCGAGUGGUUUCUGCUAAAGAAACCUUUUGUCAGUCCUAGAAACACUGAUGAAUAAGGGGUGGGCAAGUUCUGGUGUCAGCCGCCGCGGUAAAACCAGCACCUCAAGUGGUCAGGAUGAUUAUUGGGCCUAAAGCAUCCGUAGCCGGCUCUGUAAGUUUUCGGUUAAAUCUGUACGCUCAACGUACAGGCUGCCGGGAAUACUGCAGAGCUCGGGAGUGGGAGAGGUAGACGGUACUCGGUAGGAAGGGGUAAAAUCCUUUGAUCUAUUGAUGACCACCUGUGGCGA